CCUACGGGUGGCAGCAGGGGGGAAUAUUGGGCAAUGGGCGCAAGCCUGACCCAGCAACGCCGCGUGAAGGAAGAAGGCUGUCGGGUUGUAAACGUCUUGUCUCAGGGACGAAGCAAGUGACGGUACCGGAGGAAUAAGCCACGGCUAACUACGGGCCAGCAGCCGCGGUAAGACGUAGGUGGCAAGCGUUCUGCGGAUUUACUGGGUGUAAAGGGCGUGUAGGCGGGACUGCAAGUCAGAGGGGAAAACCACGGGCUCAACCUGUGGCCUGCAUUGGAAACGGUAGUUCUUGAGUACUGGAGAGGCAGCCGGUAUUCCUCGUGUCGCGGUGCACUGCGUAGCUCUUCGGAG
Molecule: ribosomal RNA, 351 nt
Filed under: uncultured bacterium
Lineage: Bacteria
Description: partial 16S ribosomal RNA
Rfam family: Bacterial small subunit ribosomal RNA
Source: RNAcentral